Molecule: ribosomal RNA, 257 nt
Filed under: Marplesia sp. CG189
Lineage: Eukaryota; Metazoa; Arthropoda; Arachnida; Araneae; Amphinectidae
Description: partial 12S ribosomal RNA
Source: RNAcentral
AAGUAAUUUUUAAAAUUUAUUUAUUUUGGUGGCAUUUCAUCUUAUUAGGGGAACUUGUUUUAUAAUCGAUAAUCCACGAUAAUUUUAACUUUAAUUAAAAAUUUAUAUACCGCCAUCUAAAGACUUAAUUUUAAAAUACACUCUUAAUAAAAAUUAAAAAGUUAGGUCAAGGUGUAAUCUAUAUUAAAGAAAUAAAUGAGUUACUAUAAAAUAAAUUUAAGGAUUAAAUAAUAAAAAUUUAUUAUAAAAUAGAAUUU